Molecule: ribosomal RNA, 335 nt
Filed under: Chaetoceros curvisetus
Lineage: Eukaryota; Bacillariophyta; Thalassiosirophyceae; Chaetocerotales; Chaetocerotaceae
Description: partial Bacterial large subunit ribosomal RNA
Rfam family: Bacterial large subunit ribosomal RNA
Source: RNAcentral
GAAACAUCUAAGUACCCGGAGGAGAAGAAAACAAAAGUGAUUCCGAUAGUAGCGGCGAGCGAACUUGGAUUAGCCCAAACCAAUAUUGUUACGGCAAUAUUGGGGUUGUAGGACUACGAUAUUCUGUGCUUUAUGAAUUAGAACGCUUUGGAAAGAGCGGCCAUAGACGGUGAUAGCCCGGUAUAAGUAAAGACAGUUACAGAUAGUAGUAUCCUGAGUAGUGCGGGGCACGUGAAACCCUGUAUGAAUUUGGCGGGACCAUCCGUUAAGGCUAAAUACUCCUGAGAGACCGAUAGUGAACCAGUACCGUGAGGGAAAGGUGAAAAGCACCCCGA